UCUUAUCGAGAGCGGCGGAGGGACUGGCCCUAUGAUGCCCGGCAACCUGCCCCUGCACAGGGGAGCGUGGUGCCAAAACCAGAGACCGGAAGUUGUUUUUCCGGGUCGGAUGAUGA
RNAcentral lists this non-coding RNA (116 nucleotides) under uncultured Pyramidobacter sp. RNAcentral's name for it is "SAM riboswitch (S box leader)". It matches the Rfam family "SAM riboswitch aptamer (S box leader)". From Rfam's summary of the family: The SAM riboswitch is found upstream of a number of genes which code for proteins involved in methionine or cysteine biosynthesis in Gram-positive bacteria. The SAM riboswitch acts at the level of transcription termination control. Lineage: Bacteria; Thermotogati; Synergistota; Synergistia; Synergistales; Dethiosulfovibrionaceae. The record is from RNAcentral.